AUUGAACGCUGGCGGCAUGCUUUACACAUGCAAGUCGAACGGUAACAGGCCGCAAGGUGCUGACGAGUGGCGAACGGGUGAGUAAUGCAUCGGAACGUGUCCAGUCGUGGGGGGUAACUACUCGCAAGAGUAGAUAAUACCGCAUACGAUCUAUGGAUGAAAGCGGGGUGCCGUAAGGCCUCGAGCGAUUGUUGCGGCCGAUGUCAGAUUAGGUAGUUGGUGGGGUAAAGGCUUACCAAGCCAACGAUCUGUAGCUGGUCUGAGAGGACGAGCCGCCACACUGGGACUGAGACACGGCCCAGACUCCUACGGGAGGCAGCAGUGGGGAAUUUUGGACAAUGGGCGCAAGCCUGAUCCAGCAAUGCCGCGUGCAGGAAGAAGGCCUUCGGGUUGUAAACUGCUUUUGUACGGAACGAAACGGCUCGGGUUAAUACCCGGAGCUAAUGACGGUACCGUAAGAAUAAGCACCGGCUAACUACGUG
This 482-nucleotide ribosomal RNA is filed under the name uncultured bacterium. RNAcentral describes it as "partial 16S ribosomal RNA". It matches the Rfam family "Bacterial small subunit ribosomal RNA", at positions 30 to 507 of the family's 1533-position model. The record is from RNAcentral.